GUAUAUUAAAGUUGUUGCAGUUAAAAAGCUCGUAGUUGGAUUUCGGAGCGGAGCUCACGGUCCGCCUUUUCGGGUGUGCACUGUGUUGUUCUGUUCUUCUUCUCGUGGAGCGUGUGUGCUCUUCAUUGAGUGUGCACGUAACUCGGGACUUUUACUUUGAAAAAAUUAGAGUGUUCAAAGCAGGCCUUGGCUUGAAUACAUUAGCAUGGAAUAAUGAAAUAGGACUUUGGUUCUAUUUUGUUGGUUUUCGGAACCAAGGUAAUGACUAAUAGGGACAGUUGGGGGCAUUCGUAUUCAAUUGUCAGAGGUGAAAUUCUUGGAUUUAUGGAAGACGAACAACUGCGAAAGCAUUUGCCAAGGAUGUUUUCAUUAAUCAAGAACGAAAGUUGGAGGUUCGAAGAUGAUCAGAUACCGUCGUAGUUCCAACCAUAAACGAUGCCGACUAGGGAUCGGUGGAUGUUAUUAAAUGACUCCAUCGGCACCUUAUGAGAAAUCAAAGUUUUUGGGUUCCGGGGGGAGUAUAAUCGCAAGAUCGGAACUUAAAGGAAUU
RNAcentral lists this ribosomal RNA (550 nucleotides) under uncultured metazoan. Its description in RNAcentral is "SSU rRNA". It matches the Rfam family "Eukaryotic small subunit ribosomal RNA", at positions 599 to 1154 of the family's 1831-position model. Lineage: Eukaryota; Metazoa. The record is from RNAcentral.